This 73-nucleotide transfer RNA is filed under the name Ixodes scapularis (black-legged tick). It matches the Rfam family "tRNA". Rfam says of the family: Transfer RNA (tRNA) molecules are approximately 80 nucleotides in length. Their secondary structure includes four short double-helical elements and three loops (D, anti-codon, and T loops). Lineage: Eukaryota; Metazoa; Arthropoda; Arachnida; Ixodida; Ixodidae. The record is from Rfam by way of RNAcentral.
UCCUGGUUAGCUCAGUUGGUAGAGCGCUCCACCGUAAAUGAAGAGGUUCCUGGUUCGAUACCCAGACCAGGCG